RNAcentral lists this small nucleolar RNA (93 nucleotides) under Theobroma cacao (cacao). RNAcentral's name for it is "Small nucleolar RNA snoR8a". It matches the Rfam family "Small nucleolar RNA snoR8a". The record is from Rfam by way of RNAcentral. Lineage: Eukaryota; Viridiplantae; Streptophyta; Magnoliopsida; Malvales; Malvaceae.
GAGUUAUUGAUGAUUAUAAAAUUAAUUUCUCGUUCUGACUUACUUAAUUUAGACAUGACAAACUUGUUAUUAUAACCAUAAAAUCUGAGUUCC